RNAcentral lists this transfer RNA (70 nucleotides) under Fukomys damarensis (Damara mole-rat). It matches the Rfam family "tRNA". Rfam says of the family: Transfer RNA (tRNA) molecules are approximately 80 nucleotides in length. The record is from Rfam by way of RNAcentral. Lineage: Eukaryota; Metazoa; Chordata; Mammalia; Rodentia; Bathyergidae.
GGUGAUGUAGUCCAGUGGUGGAACACAUGCCUCGCACGCAUGAGGGCUGGGUUCCAUUCCCAAAGCACUG